Budorcas taxicolor (takin) is the source of this 136-nucleotide long non-coding RNA. RefSeq lists it as uncharacterized. The record is from RefSeq and is a predicted model, not a curated record. The transcript is spliced from 3 exons. Lineage: Eukaryota; Metazoa; Chordata; Mammalia; Artiodactyla; Bovidae.
UAUUUCCUACUCCUGGAUGAUAUAGUAGAGAUGAAAGGACCUACUAUCCAAAAUUUGCUUCAGACGUUGACCCUGAUGAUACCAUCCAGCACCUGGAAGGCGAACCACUCAACAUCACAGUAAUUCAAGUCUAUGC